GAUACUCAGUCAGUAGAGCAUGAGACUCUUAAUCUCAGGGCUGUGAGUUCAAGUCCUACAUCG
This 63-nucleotide transfer RNA is filed under the name Podarcis lilfordi (Lilford's wall lizard). It matches the Rfam family "tRNA". Rfam says of the family: Transfer RNA (tRNA) molecules are approximately 80 nucleotides in length. Their secondary structure includes four short double-helical elements and three loops (D, anti-codon, and T loops). Further hydrogen bonds mediate the characteristic L-shaped molecular structure. tRNAs have two regions of fundamental functional importance: the anti-codon, which is responsible for specific mRNA codon recognition, and the 3' end, to which the tRNAs corresponding amino acid is attached (by aminoacyl-tRNA synthetases). tRNAs cope with the degeneracy of the genetic code in two manners: having more than one tRNA (with a specific anti-codon) for a particular amino acid; and 'wobble' base-pairing, i.e. permitting non-standard base-pairing at the 3rd anti-codon position. The record is from Rfam by way of RNAcentral. Lineage: Eukaryota; Metazoa; Chordata; Lepidosauria; Squamata; Lacertidae.